RNAcentral lists this transfer RNA (72 nucleotides) under Ovis aries (sheep). It matches the Rfam family "tRNA". Rfam says of the family: Transfer RNA (tRNA) molecules are approximately 80 nucleotides in length. The record is from Rfam by way of RNAcentral. Lineage: Eukaryota; Metazoa; Chordata; Mammalia; Artiodactyla; Bovidae.
UCCCUGGUGGCUUAGAUGGUACAGCAUCUGCUUCCAAUGCAGGAGACCCAGGUUCGACCCCUGGGUUGGGAA